ACCACCCACUCCACUGCGCCACCUGCUCCAAGUCAAUCACCAUGCAACAAGGAAGCAAACACGCAACAGCCAAAGAAAAGAAAGGAAAAAGAAAACAAAAAAAAUAGGAAUUAAUAUCGGCUAUAAAAGCCAAGCAUAUAACUCUUUUUUUUCUCUUCCCUGGCAACUUUUGUAACAAAACAAAAAUAGAUUCAACCGAAAGAAAAUAAAAAAGGCAGAUUCAAGG
RNAcentral lists this long non-coding RNA (226 nucleotides) under Gossypium barbadense (sea-island cotton). RNAcentral's name for it is "long non-coding RNA (GBAR_LNC014576)". Lineage: Eukaryota; Viridiplantae; Streptophyta; Magnoliopsida; Malvales; Malvaceae. The record is from RNAcentral.